Molecule: ribosomal RNA, 1234 nt
Filed under: Acarospora bullata
Lineage: Eukaryota; Fungi; Ascomycota; Lecanoromycetes; Acarosporales; Acarosporaceae
Description: eukaryotic LSU rRNA
Rfam family: Eukaryotic large subunit ribosomal RNA
Source: RNAcentral
AACAGCUCAAAUUUGAAAUCUGGCUCUUUCGGGGUCCGAGUUGUAAUUUGCAGAGGAUGCUUCGGGUGCGGCUCCGGUCUAAGUUCCUUGGAACAGGACGUCAUAGAGGGUGAGAAUCCCGUAUGUGAUCGGCCGUCUCGCCCGUGUGAAGCUCCUUCGACGAGUCGAGUUGUUUGGGAAUGCAGCUCAAAAUGGGUGGUAAAUUUCAUCUAAAGCUAAAUAUUGGCCAGAGACCGAUAGCGCACAAGUAGAGUGAUCGAAAGAUGAAAAGCACUUUGGAAAGAGAGUCAAACAGUACGUGAAAUUGUUGAAAGGGAAGCGCUUGCAACCAGACUUGCCCGCGGGUGAUCAGCCGGUAUUUGUACCGGUGCACUCGCCCGUGGUCAGGCCAGCAUCGGUUUGGGCGGCUGGAUAAAGUCCACCGGAAUGUAGCUCCCCUCGGGGAGCGUUAUAGCCGGAGGUGCCAUGCAGCCCGCCCGGACCGAGGACCGCGCUUCGGCUAGGAUGCUGGCGUAAUGGUUGUAAGCGACCCGUCUUGAAACACGGACCAAGGAGUCUAACAUCUAUGCGAGUGUUUGGGUGUCAAACCCAUGCGCGUAAUGAAAGUGAACGGAGGUGGGAACCCUCAAGGGUGCACCAUCGACCGAUCCUGAUGUCUUCGGAUGGAUUUGAGUAAGAGCAUAGCUGUUGGGACCCGAAAGAUGGUGAACUAUGCCUGAAUAGGGUGAAGCCAGAGGAAACUCUGGUGGAGGCUCGCAGCGGUUCUGACGUGCAAAUCGAUCGUCAAAUUUGGGUAUAGGGGCGAAAGACUAAUCGAACCAUNUAGUAGCUGGUUCCUGCCGAAGUUUCCCUCAGGAUAGCAGUAACGUUUUCAGUUUUAUGAGGUAAAGCGAAUGAUUAGAGGCCUUGGGGUUGAAACAACCUUAACCUAUUCUCAAACUUUAAAUAUGUAAGAAGUCCUUGUUACUUAGUUGAACGUGGACAUUUGAAUGUACCGUUACUAGUGGGCCAUUUUUGGUAAGCAGAACUGGCGAUGCGGGAUGAACCGAACGCGAGGUUAAGGUGCCGGAAUGCACGCUCAUCAGACACCACAAAAGGUGUUGAUUCAUCUAGACAGCCGGACGGUGGCCAUGGAAGUCGGAAUCCGCUAAGGAAUGUGUAACAACUCACCGGCCGAAUGAAUCAGCCCUGAAAAUGGAUGGCGCUCAAGCGUGCUACCCAUACCUCGCCGCCA